ACUGUUACAGAAUUAGUCGGACUUCACUCGAAUUCGGAUGAAAAUUCAGACACCUGCGCUAUGAUUCGCAAUCUGUGUUUCAUUUGUCUGAUCGCUGUUGUACACUCUGUACUGGGAGAAUCGACCCAGAGCUACAAAGAUGCUGUCACACCGCUUGCAAACGAAUGCAUCCCUCAGGUUGGUGCAUCCGACGAUGAUUUCCAGGCGGUGCUCAACAGGAAUCGUCUUGAGACUCGGCCCGCUAAGUGUUUGCUGGCCUGUGUGUUCGAGAAGAUGGGGGCCUUCUCAGCCGAUGGACGCCUGCUGAACGGGGACAACAUCAUGCCCAUCAUAGACAGACUGUACGGAUUCAAGGAGUACCAAUCGGUCCUGCGGGCCCAACUCGUGCGCAACUGCGUCGAUCAAGUGAACGGCAAAGACACUGACCAAUGCGAACUGAUUGCGCAGACCCUGCACUGUAUCAUCGAACAACAGUGACACAGGAUUCGAACACGGACCUACCAACCAUUAAGUAAGAUUUUGCUGUGAGGUUAAAGCCCCCACUGAUGUUAUCUUCAAUUGGUAUACCAAGGAGCACAACUCUCACUGGCCUCAUGCACUUGCUGUAGAAGCUGUUUCAGACAUUUCUCAUACUCUAUGACAGCAGUAUAAAUACUGUACAUGAGUAGAGCGGAGCUUCUAAUAAAUAUGAAAAUUUUAA
RNA transcript from Cryptotermes secundus, 700 nucleotides. It is a transcript of the gene named general odorant-binding protein 19d, with no coding region annotated. Lineage: Eukaryota; Metazoa; Arthropoda; Insecta; Blattodea; Kalotermitidae. The record is from RefSeq and is a predicted model, not a curated record. The transcript is spliced from 6 exons.